RNAcentral lists this long non-coding RNA (2040 nucleotides) under Homo sapiens (human). RNAcentral's name for it is "novel transcript". The record is from RNAcentral. Lineage: Eukaryota; Metazoa; Chordata; Mammalia; Primates; Hominidae.
AGGAGGGAGCCUUCCAGAGUCGGUGCAGGGUUGACAGGAGACGUUUGUUUUGCUUUUCCUGAACUUUCGAUCGCCAGCUUGUUUGGUCUUCUUGAUGUUAUAGGGUUGAUAGAGAGGAGUGGAGUGAUAUCGGACACCCAGCUUCGGCAAGCUCUCUCCAAGGGUGAGUGGGCCAGUGGGACCUGGGUCUCCGGACCAAGAAGCCGCGAGCCUGCCCUGCUCACAGUGGAUAACUUUCUUUCUGAAGUUGAUUUUCCAAGGACAAAGGAAUCAUUAGGGCAAAUUAUUAUUACUGCUUCAUGGUGGAGAUGCUUCUGGUUUAUUCUGUGGCUACCGCUGUUACUGCUUGGAGUGCCUCACCGAGCCAGCUAACAACGGCGUGCGUGAGCACAGGGAAAGGCUUCUUGAGAAAUGAAAACUAGGUUGUAGGUUUAGGAGGGGAAUAGGAAGGUUAGCUCUGUCCAGCCGAAAGCCUUUUGGAUGAAGCCCCACCCGCCCUUCAGGAUGCCAGCCUUGGCAACAUUGUGAGACCCUGUUUCUACAAAAAGUAAACGUGUAGUGGUGCACGCCUGUAGUUCCAGCUACUUGGGAGGCUGAGAUGGGAAGAUCACUUCAGCCUGGGAGGUUGAGGCUGCAUUGAGCUGAGAUCAAGCCACGGCACUCCAGCCUGGGAGACAGAGCGAAACCCCAUCUCAAAAAAACAAAGAAAGUGGAUGCGCGCUGCUCCUGCCAUUGGAUCAUCGCAGCAUUUUUCUUUUCUCUGAUAUGCGCCUUUUUCCUCACCGUGGGGGCUCAUGUUUUCGUAGUUUCUUCUCGCUACUAGAUUGUGAGCUGCGUGAAGGAAGGUUCAUAGUUGUGUUGUAUGUACAGGCACACAAAAUUUGUCCUUGGAUAGACACAUAUCAGUCCGCUUCCUUCUCCUCUCUGAAUUUCUUUAUUUAAAAAAAAGAAUUAGAGAUGGAGUCUCACUGUCUUGCCCAGGCUGGUCUCAAACUCCUAGGCUCAAGCGAUCCUCCCGCCUCUACUAAUAUGAAUUAUUAGCCUAUACUAAUAUGAAUUCCUAUACUAAUAUGAUUGAAAUUAGUUUGACUUGUAUAAUAAUUGUUCUCCCAGAUUGGGCUUCUGUUUUGAUAGUAGAACUAAAUUAUUAGGCUAUUUCAAGAAAUUAAUAUAUUACUGGUAGAAAAACUGAAGCUACAAAAUGGCCUGGUUUCUCACUUCAGUUAAAUUUGUGCUUCUGAGUGCUUGUAUUGUAGGUGAAACCGCACUGAGAAGGUAUUUGUGGCCCGUACGCUGGUUCAUUGAUGAGACUUCUUUGCACAGGAGAGCCGCUAAAAAUUACUGUGGUGAACAGACGGAGGCCCAUUGAGGCUUCUCUGUCCUCCACGGGGACCAGCAUUGGGCUAAACCUGCAGACACCAUUGCAAAGGGAAUUCAGGCAAACCCGGUGGUGAAGAAUGAUUCCAGCGCGAGGACAGAGGCUGACAUUUCUUGCCUGGGCUCAUCAAUGCACCGUGUGGCCAAACAGAACAGAAGCUUGUUUUUCAUUCACGCUACCUCCUCCUCUCAGAGCUGGCAGGAGUUCUUGUCCACAUUGUUAAGCGGGGUCAUUGAUGACUGAACUUCCCACAUUUUGUGACAGCAGCAUCUAGAAUAUGCAGCACUCUCCAUCAUCAUGAGAGAAAAAGAGAUUGGAGAAUCACCCAGAGCUCUUUAUUGCCUCAGCCAAAUAAGUGACACAUGUCAUGUCUCACGAUUCAUUGGCCAGAACUAGUCCCGUGGCCCUGUCUGACUGCAAGGGAGCUGGACAACGUGAAGGAGCAGGUGGAAUAUUGGAUAUUUAAAUACCACUGCUUUAGUACAGUGGUUAAGAGUAAAGUAUUUGAAGUUAUAAGGAGGUUGGUUCAAAAAAUAAUGACUUUGCAGACAGGCGCGGUGGCUCACGCCUGUAAUCCCAGCACUUUGGGAGGCUGAGGCAGGCAGAUCCCUUGAGGCCAGGAGUUCAAGACCAGCCUGGCCAACAUGGUGAAACCCCAUCUC